CUUAAGAUCAUGAAUUACAACAUUAGAAAAACUCAAUGUCUUUUAGGCUCUCAAAUAAUUAGUUGAGCUAAGAAAAAGUAGAUCAAGAUUUCAUUGACCAAAAUAGUCAAUACAAUUUGCACUAGUGUCAUCUCUUACUGCAUACAACUUAAUGAAAUUUUUUAGUAUGGUUAGCUAUGUGUUGAAUGACAUUGAAUAUGCCUUGUAGGGUUGGACAUUUCACCACAAUGUCGGAGGCAAGUGCUAGUAGCUAUAAUUCCAACUAUAGGGGGCAUGUGUGUGACAUGGAUCAGUGUGUGUUGUGGACAUCUUUGCAGCUCCAUAAUUUCGGUAGACAGUUUUAUGGCUGUAGACAUUGGAAGCCUGGCAGCGACCAACAUUGUAAGUCCUUUAAGUGGUUGGAUGGCAUCCCAUGUAGGCGUGGAGAGUGUCAUUGCGAAAUUUACUAGGCUUGAGGCCAAGGCAGCUAUGGAAAAAAACAAUGAGAUGGAAGCCCGUGCAAUGAUAGCAGACCUACUCCACAGGGAAAGAGUAGCAAAGUGUAGUGCUGAAAAAGCAAGGGUUUCCCUUUGUAUGGCCAAUGCGUGAGCACGUAAAUAUCAAAUUGCUCUACUUAUGUCAUGGUUGGCAUUUGUGGUGUUGUUUAUAUUUUCACUUGGUAAAAUGUAGGUUUGAUUACGGCAAAUGUGUUUGCCAUGAUUUUGAAUUUGGAUUAGUGGUUUGCAUAAUGAAAUUCUAUUAUGUGGUUGGACAUGGAAAUGUAUUGUAGGUGUUAGGAGUGCCUUCUAGUGUAGGUAUUGGACCUGGCAACGUAUGUGUUGAAUGACAGAGUUAUUGUAACCUUAUAUAUAACAUUGCUGUUUUGUAAUGGUAGCAUUCUUAGUUUUUGCCAUUCCUA
This is a long non-coding RNA of Quercus lobata, 898 nucleotides long. RefSeq lists it as uncharacterized. The transcript has 2 exons. The record is from RefSeq and is a predicted model, not a curated record. Lineage: Eukaryota; Viridiplantae; Streptophyta; Magnoliopsida; Fagales; Fagaceae.